GACGAACGCUGGCGGCGUGCUUAACACAUGCAAGUUGAACGAGAAUUUUUCGAGUGAUUUCUUCGGAAUGAUCAUGAAAAAGGAAAGUAGCGAGCGGGUGAGUAACACGUGAGAAACCUGCCUUUCACAAAGGGAUAGCCUCGGGAAACCGGGAUUAAUACCUUAUGAAACCAAACACUCGCAUGAGAGAUUGGUUAAAGAUUUAUCGGUGUUAGAUGGUCUCGCGUCUGAUUAGCUAGUUGGUGGGAUAAAAGCCUACCAAGGCAACGAUCAGUAGCCGGAUUGAGAGGUUGAACGGCCACACUGGAACUGAGACACGGUCCAGACUCCUACGGGAGGCAGCAGUGGGGAAUUUUGCACAAUGGAGGAAACUCUGAUGCAGCGACGCCGCGUGAGUGAUGAAGGUCUUCGGAUUGUAAAACUCUGUCCUUAGUGAAGAUAAUGACAGUAACUAAGAAGCAAGCCCUGGCUAAAUACGUG
This 480-nucleotide ribosomal RNA is filed under the name uncultured bacterium. Its description in RNAcentral is "partial 16S ribosomal RNA". It matches the Rfam family "Bacterial small subunit ribosomal RNA", at positions 28 to 507 of the family's 1533-position model. The record is from RNAcentral.